CCUACGGGUGGCCGCAGUGGGGAAUAUUGCACAAUGGGGGAAACCCUGAUGCAGCGACGCCGCGUGAAGGAAGAAGUAUUUCGGUAUGUAAACUUCUAUCAGCAGUGAAGAAAAUGACGGUACCUGACUAAGAAGCCCCGGCUACCUACGUGCCAGCAGCCGCGGUAAUACGUAGGGGGCAAGCGUUAUCCGGAUGUAUUGGGUUUAAAGGGUGCGCAGGCGGAGGUGCAAGUCAGCGGUCAAAUUGCGGGGCUCAACCCCGUACUGCCGUUGAACCUGCAUCCCUUGAGUGCGCGAGAAGUAUGCGGAAUGCGUGGUGUAGCGGUGAAAUGCAUAGAUAUCACGCAGAACUCCGAUUGCGAAGGCAGCAUACCGGCGCGCAACUGACGCUCAUGCACGAAAGCGUGGGUAUCGAACAGGAGUAGAUACCCCAGUAGUC
Molecule: ribosomal RNA, 439 nt
Filed under: uncultured bacterium
Lineage: Bacteria
Description: partial 16S ribosomal RNA
Rfam family: Bacterial small subunit ribosomal RNA
Source: RNAcentral